AAUAAAUGCAGUUUUGCAUUGUUUAUGUCCAACGUUUGACCGUUCGUUUUAUUUAAAAAAUGUAUGAUUAGUAUUUUUACUGUUAUUAUAUGAUAAUAUAUUAAUAGUACUUUAUGUGUGACUAAUUUUUUAAACUUUUUCAUAAAUUUUUCAAAUAAGACGAACGGUCAAACGUCGGACACAUCGGACACAGAUACUCACAGCUGCACUUAUU
This is a non-coding RNA of Oryza glumipatula, 214 nucleotides long. The record is from Rfam. Lineage: Eukaryota; Viridiplantae; Streptophyta; Magnoliopsida; Poales; Poaceae.